Molecule: long non-coding RNA, 354 nt
Filed under: Rhipicephalus microplus (southern cattle tick)
Lineage: Eukaryota; Metazoa; Arthropoda; Arachnida; Ixodida; Ixodidae
Description: uncharacterized LOC119162306
Source: RNAcentral
AGUCCGUGGAAAGUGCGUGUAUCAAGUCACCCGACCCAACUGAUGUCGACUCGCCGAACACGGAUACAAGCAGCGAAAGUUCGGACGCGGAAACGAGUGGAGAUGAAGCGCACGCAUGUGAGCCAUCAGACGGAAACGCCGAUAUGGACGAGGAGCUGUAUCCAGGUUCGAAGAUCACCAGGGCAGAGAGCAUUUUGCUGAUUAUGGGCCACAGCCUCCGCCAUGACGCGUCGAAAGAAGCCACCGAGAGCUUGCUUCAGUUAUUGCGCGCUCAUCUGCCGGAAAAAACAGAGCUGCCUUGUUCAAAGUACAAAUUUUUUAGACAUUUCAGCUCUCCUGAGAGUGCAAAGAACA